AACCAACUAUAUAGAGAAGUCUACCAACUCAAUUAACCAUGAUACCAAGUAAUAACAAACACAAUUUCAAUCUAAUCUCUCCCUCCCAAACAACUUAGAACAGCUUGAUUGGGGACCAAGCAUCCAGCGGGUGAAUCAGAUAGGUCAGGACCAGUGCCACAAGCAUCAGCACAUAAGCAACUCCUUGAUCAACAGAUGUUCCAUCGCUCGUCGGUGCCGGAGCCGGCGCCUGCGCCUGCACGGCCGGCAGGGCAAUCGCGAAGAUCAUCGCCACGACGGCCAGCACGCCGAUCGGAAGCCUCAUCAUCGCCGACAUCUCAACGAUCGGAACCUAGGGGAAGAGCUGCGAGGGGCAAAACGGUCUUUUUG
This 369-nucleotide unclassified non-coding RNA is filed under the name Hevea brasiliensis (rubber tree). Lineage: Eukaryota; Viridiplantae; Streptophyta; Magnoliopsida; Malpighiales; Euphorbiaceae. The record is from RNAcentral.